Molecule: ribosomal RNA, 1531 nt
Filed under: human gut metagenome
Description: bacterial LSU rRNA
Rfam family: Bacterial large subunit ribosomal RNA
Source: RNAcentral
AAUCAUAAUGGCCGAAAAUCUAAGGUUUCUUGGGGAAGGUUCGUCCGCCCAAGGUAAGUCGGGAGCUAAGCUCAGGCCGAGAGGCGUAGGCGAUGCACAUACGGUAGAAAUUCCGUAACCACCGAAACUUAAACAGAGGGACACUUCGAAAUAGCGGAACCCGGGCGUUGGUUGACCCGGGCGAAAGGGAGCGAAAUUAGAGUAGCGAAGUCCGCGAUGUUCGGAGGCGAGAAAAGCUCUGAGGUAUGCUAAGGUGCCCGUACCGCAAACCGACACAGGUAGAUGAGGAGAGAAUCCUAAGGCCAACGGGAGAAGGGUUGUUAAGGAACUCGGCAAAUUGACCCCGUAACUUCGGAAGAAGGGGAGCCCCCUACGGGGGGUCGCAGAGAAAUGGCCCAAGCAACUGUUUACCAAAAACACAGGUCUAUGCUAAAUCGAAAGAUGACGUAUAUGGGCUGACGCCUGCCCGGUGCCGGAAGGUUAAGAGGAGAUGUCAGCGCAAGCGAAGCAUUGAAUUGAAGCCCCGGUAAACGGCGGCCGUAACUAUAACGGUCCUAAGGUAGCGAAAUUCCUUGUCAGGUAAGUUCUGACCCGCACGAAUGGCGUAAUGAUUUGGGCACUGUCUCAACAGCCCGCCCGGCGAAAUUGUAGUACUGGUGAAGAUGCCAGUUACCCGCAACUAGACGGAAAGACCCCAUGGAGCUUUACUGCAGCUUAAUACUGAAAUUCGGUAGUACAUGUACAGGAUAGGUGGGAGACUGAGAAAUACAGGCGUCAGCUUGUAUGGAGUCGCUGUUGGGAUACCACUCUUGUACUGCUGGGUUUCUAACCUGCGGCCGUGAAUCCGGUCGGGGGACACUGUUAGGCGGGCAGUUUGACUGGGGCGGUCGCCUCCUAAAGAGUAACGGAGGCGCUCAAAGGUUCGCUCUGCAUGGAUGGAAACCAUGCGUCAGAGUGUAAACGCAAAAGCGAGCCUAACUGCGAGAAUGACGGUUCGAGCAGUAACGAAAGUUGGAGUUAGUGAUCCGGCGGUAUGUGAAUGGAAAUGCCGUCGCUCAACGGAUAAAAGCUACCCUGGGGAUAACAGGCUGAUCUCCCCCAAGAGUCCACAUCGACGGGGAGGUUUGGCACCUCGAUGUCGGCUCAUCGCAUCCUGGGGCUGUAUUCGGUCCCAAGGGUUUGGCUGUUCGCCAAUUAAAGCGGUACGCGAGCUGGGUUCAGAACGUCGUGAGACAGUUCGGUCCCUAUCUGUCGUGGGCGUAGGAUAUUUGCAAGGAGCUGUCCCUAGUACGAGAGGACCGGGAUGGACGCACCUCUGGUGCACCAGUUGUCACGCCAGUGGCACAGCUGGGCAGCUAUGUGCGGAACGGAUAAACGCUGAAGGCAUCUAAGCGUGAAGCUGCCCUUAAGAUAAGAUAUCCCUUCUGUUUACAGAGUAAGACCCCUUGAAGACUACAAGGUUGAUAGGCUCAAAGUGUAAGCACGGUGACGUGUUUAGCUAGCGAGUACUAAUCGGUCGAGGGCUUAACCU